This is a long non-coding RNA of Nicotiana attenuata, 419 nucleotides long. RefSeq lists it as uncharacterized. The record is from RefSeq and is a predicted model, not a curated record. Lineage: Eukaryota; Viridiplantae; Streptophyta; Magnoliopsida; Solanales; Solanaceae. The transcript has 3 exons.
CCCUUGAGCCCUCAAAACUCUCACAAAUAUCGACAUGCCCCUUUCUCCGGCGAAGGCUCUUCCACAGGCAUAGAAAUGCACAAUCUGUUGUUUGUUUCUCCUUCCUCUUUUCUUCUGAAUUAGUGGUUACGUCAAAGAGAAACUACAACAUAGCAGUGUAGCUUGUUCGAGACUUUGCACUACUAACAGAAUGGGAUGGGACCUCACUUGCAAGGUGCAACGAUUGUGGAUGAAAGCAGUGACGAAGACCUUACUUGAGUGUUGUUGAGUGACGAAGACUUUACUUGAGUAUUGUUAGACUUUCUAUUAUCAUGUUCAAGGAUAUUUUAGUUUUGAACUUUUUGGAUGCAAACUCAUCUAUUGACUUUUGAAUUGUUGAUCAAACAAUGUAUUCAAUUUUGUUUUUAUAUAUGGAUAAU